This 21-nucleotide microRNA is filed under the name Manihot esculenta (cassava). RNAcentral's name for it is "mes-miR2950". Lineage: Eukaryota; Viridiplantae; Streptophyta; Magnoliopsida; Malpighiales; Euphorbiaceae. RNAcentral also lists the same sequence under 3 other names. The record is from miRBase by way of RNAcentral.
UUCCAUCUCUUGCACACUGGA